RNA transcript from Lucilia cuprina (Australian sheep blowfly), 1680 nucleotides. It is a transcript of the gene named gustatory and pheromone receptor 32a, with no coding region annotated. The transcript is spliced from 8 exons. The record is from RefSeq and is a predicted model, not a curated record. NCBI's taxonomy places the organism in Eukaryota, Metazoa, Arthropoda, Insecta, Diptera, Calliphoridae.
CAUGUUGUAUUCAUACAGUCAUUCAAGUACUUGCUUCGUUCGCUAACAAGGACUCACUUGAAGUAAAAACAUUUUCCGUUGACAAAGUUUAAGAUGUGUCCUGGACCUUGGACAGUUAAUAUGAGUAGAGAAAAAGUGAAAUCAUCACCUGUUCGUCAAACAACUAGAAGUGCAUUCAUGAUGGAUUCAAAUAAUAACGAGUCGGAAACGUUUUUAAGUGAUAUUACUGACCUUCUCUAUAUAUUGAAGGCGACAGGGCUCUUGCCCUUCUAUCGAACUAUAUCCAACUAUGAACUGGGACCUCCAUCUGUAUUAUCACGUAUCUACACUAUUACUGCUCAUAUUCUGAUUCAUUCAAUGACGAUUUACAAUGUGUACAACCUAUUUACGGAUGGUUCCACACAACUAUUUUAUUCGUAUCGUGAAACGGACAACAUAAACUAUUGGAUUGAAAUUCUUUUGUGCAUUGUUACGUAUACUACGACUGUAUUUUUAUGUUUCAGAAACGGAAAAUCAUAUUUGAACAUUUUAAAUGACACUCUCAAAGUGGAUGAGGAAAUAAGUCGAAAAUUUUCGAUUAAUAUGGUUAAUAAUUGCGGAUUUGCCAUCAAGUACAUUAUAAUAAUAGUGAUUUUCCAAGUAUACAUAAUAAUUUUAAAAAUAUUGUCAAUCAAGGAACCAUUAAAUGUGGCCUCAUACAUUCUCAUUUCAUUUUAUUCAUUUCAAAAUGGUUUGUCGUCAAUAUUCAUCGUGUACGCUUCGGUUCUCUUGCGUAUUAUAACAGUACGUUUCGAAUUUUUAAACAAAAUAAUAACUGGUUACACGUACCGUGAGCAAAAGGCAAAAGUAAGACAACGAAUUACACGUGUAAAUAAUGGCGACAUUUUCUCACAACCACGAUCCAUGGAAAACUUUCCAGAUGAGUCACUAUUUGCUUUUCGUAUGUACAAUAAAUUAUUGCGUCUCUACAAGGCUGUCAAUGAAUGUUGCAGUCUAACACUGGUCGUCUAUAUGGGUUACGCAUUUUAUUCGAUUACCACAACUACAUAUAAUUUAUUUGUUCAGAUUACAACACAAAUGGACAGUGCAAUGGAAAUGUCUGUGAAUGUGCUGCAAAUCUGUUUUGUAUUACUGUUCACUAAUACUAUUAUGUUGGCCGUGUUAUCACGAUGCGCUGGACAAGCUACAGAUCAGGCAAAUGAAACAUCGGAGAUACUAGCCCGAGUGUAUGGUAAAAGCAAGGAGUAUCAAAAUAUCGUUGAUAAAUUUUUAACAAAAAGCAUUAAACAAGAAGUACAAUUCACUGCUUAUGGUUUUUUUGUUAUCGACAAUUCGACACUUUUUAAGACGUUGGAUGGCAUUAAAACUUCAAGUGGACAAUGGGGUAAUCGAAAUGAAAUUUUGAUUCCGUUGGAGAUGUUUUCCAUUUGGAAUGUGUUACUAAUUAUGUGUUGAAAAGGAUUUCAAUUUGGCAAAUUUAAAGUAUGGGUCAAGACAUUACAAACAUGAUCUUUUUAUAUAAAUACAUCGUGCAAAAACACCUUUAUUAAUAUAACAAAAUUUGCUGGUAGUAGUAAAACAUGGAGUAAUAAUACCUUUUAAAUAUAGACGUAAACGUAAAACAUGGAUAAUACAGUUGUUAUAUAUAGGAUAAAUAAAAAAAUAUUUUGAACACAUGAA